AUCAUCUGUUGCCUCACCAUACCUGGAUAAAACCAUAAUCACAGGUACUUGUGAAAACAAUUGGUAACCUGCUCCUGCUAUGGUUGGAGGGAAAGAUGGUGAGCUCCAGAACAGGGGCCUGGUUUCAGUUGUCUUUAAAUCCCAAAGGCUAGCACACUAUUUGGAAUCACUGUAAGCCUCAAGACCGUGACAGGAUCAAUGAGCAUCAUUACUGACGGAGGUAUCGUGGUUUUAAAACAUAUCCGCAAAUUCUUUGACACUCCUCCCCUCAAGAGGUGGUUUUAUUUUCCUGCUUCUUUGCGUGACUGGUAAACUUUGAUUGGAUGCCAGACAUUCUGACUCUAUCUCAUUGGGUGCUGGAUAUUUUUGUAUCCCUAUAUAUAUUCUGGGACACAGUUAAGUUGUCUGAAAACAGUUUGAUCCUCUCAGGUCUUGCUUUGAAGAUUUGUUGGGUAGGACCAGGGCAGCACUGAGUCUAGAGAUCACUUCCCCCGCUGUGAAGAGAGAACCCUGGAGAUUCUUGGCAAAAAUGUCCUAAAGUCCAGGGAAAGACACAAAGAUGGAUGUGCGCAUACACACAGGAUGUCUUGGGCCAGAGGAGCAGCAUCAGCUGGCCGCUUCGGUCACUUGUCACGCCCUUCUCUCUCUGGGGACUGCAUUGCCACCGCUAAAAGCACUUAUAAUUGUUUCUUUGAAAAUGGCCAUAUUCUCCAGAGAAGCUCUCAGGCAAGAAAUCUAAUUAUCUUGGAAUUAUUGAAUUCUCUGGGUACCGUCUUCUAGGUAGGCAGACAGAGUCUUUAUUUCAUUUUUAGAAAGGUUGUUUGCUGUUACACAUAAUGGACUGUUUGUCCUCUUCCUCCCACCAUGGUUUGGAAAGAGAAGCAGUGGAAUUUAUCAAUCCCUCCUCUACACCUGGCCUUCAUCAAACACUGCAAACAACCAACACUGUGUAGAAGCAUUUGGU
Myotis brandtii (Brandt's bat) is the source of this 964-nucleotide long non-coding RNA. RefSeq lists it as uncharacterized. The transcript is spliced from 3 exons. The record is from RefSeq and is a predicted model, not a curated record. Lineage: Eukaryota; Metazoa; Chordata; Mammalia; Chiroptera; Vespertilionidae.